CAAUAGCGUAUAUUAAAGUUGUUGCGGUUAAAAAGCUCGUAGUUGGAUUUCUGCCGAGGACGACCGGUCCGCCCUCUGGGUGAGUAUCUGGCUCGGCCUGGGCAUCUUCUUGGAGAACGUAGCUGCACUUGACUGUGUGGUGCGGUAUCCAGGACUUUUACUUUGAGGAAAUUAGAGUGUUUCAAGCAGGCUUACGCCUUGAAUACAUUAGCAUGGAAUAAUAAGAUAGGACCUCGGUUCUAUUUUGUUGGUUUCUAGAGCUGAGGUAAUGAUUAAUAGGGAUAGUUGGGGGCAUUCGUAUUUAACUGCCAGAGGUGAAAUUCUUGGAUUUGUUAAAGACGGACUACUGCGAAAGCAUUUGCCAAGGAUGUUUUCAUUGA
This 380-nucleotide ribosomal RNA is filed under the name uncultured eukaryote. RNAcentral's name for it is "partial 18S ribosomal RNA". It matches the Rfam family "Eukaryotic small subunit ribosomal RNA", at positions 592 to 976 of the family's 1831-position model. The record is from RNAcentral.